AGCCAUACUCUUAGAAGACAGAAAUUCCAGUGAGUCUGCCUGGAAGAAUAAAAUUUUUAUAUCUGCCCUAAACACUCCAGAGCCAGCAAUGAUGCAUGAGCCUUUAGUUGGCAGCCAGAAAAGAAAAGCGAGGAAAACUAAGAUCACACAUCUUGUCCGAACAGCAGAUGGUCGAGUGUCACCAGCAGGAGGGACACUGGAGGAGAAGCCAAAAGAGCUGCCACAGAGUACUCUUCAAAAAACAUCAAGUGCAGAAACAGAUUGCAACAGUGAAUGCUCCAGAAAUGCAGAGACAGAAGAAAAUCAUAGUAUUACAUCAGAUAUGCCAGCGGUGUCUGCAUUUUUUAGCUUAGCUGCUCUAGCAGAAGUAGCAGCCAUGGAAAAUGUACACAGAAGUCAGAGGGCCACACCUCUCCCACAUGACGGACAGCCAAAUGAAAUGUCUCAGGCUCCAGUGCUUAUUUCCUGCGCUGACCAGUGAAGCUCCACUUUAUUGUAAAACAUUGUGCUUUACCUAAUAUCCUAGCCUUGUCUUUACCAAGGAAAGCUAGUCAGUCCAUAUGAUGGAAACGAUAGACUGCAAGCGUUUAUUGUUCUGAGUGGCCCAGAAUUCACUGGAAGCCAGACGUUAGCAACUUGGGCCAGGUCCUGAAAUCGGAACCCAGUUUGUAGGAUGGUGAUAUUAAUUGUCUAUUGAUGAACAGAAAUGGAAUGAUCCCAGAGCUUGCUUUCUAUUGAAGGCUUUUAAACAGUAAAUAGGUGGUUGGUGUGGAAAAGGCUGCCUUUACUGUUAGCUCAGUAUCUCUUCUACCAACCAGAGAGUACGGCAACUAGUUUCGUAUAAUACCUAGUUAUUCUAAAUUAAAAAUAAAAAAAUUCAAAAAAAA
This is a long non-coding RNA of Eurypyga helias (sunbittern), 887 nucleotides long. RefSeq lists it as uncharacterized. NCBI's taxonomy places the organism in Eukaryota, Metazoa, Chordata, Aves, Eurypygiformes, Eurypygidae. The record is from RefSeq and is a predicted model, not a curated record. The transcript is spliced from 3 exons.